UGGUUGAAAAUGGAAGUUGAUGGUUUAAUUUGAGUGAGGUUUUUGGCGUUUUCUUAGACUGUUGCCCUUUCGCUUCAUCAUCAUUUCGCACACUACAAAUAAAAGUGUAACAGAAACGAGAGAGAGGGAUCUGCAGAUUGAAGAAGCUCUACAUGAGAAAGAGAGAGAGAGAGAGAGAGAGAUCUGAAUUUGAAGAAGCUCUACAUGAGAGAGAGAGAGAGAGAGAUCUGCAGAUUGAAGAAGCUCUACAUGAGAGAGAGAGAGAGAGACAGCCACAUUACGAUCAAACUACCGAUCGAGAGUGACCGACAAGGGAUCAGAUUGAUGAAGAAGCUCUACAUCUACUGCAACUUCAACGUCAUCCUCAAGUAGUGAAGAUGAUCACCUAGAUCUAUCUAUAUAUAUCAUAAUGCAAAUGAAAACUAUGUGUACGUGGACUUUUCCCAGUUAGAUUUUCAUAAAUAUUGCUCAAUUUCAGCACUAAUUCAACCGUGAAAUACAUUGAUACGUAGGCAAUAUAAUUAAGCAAGCUUCA
Molecule: long non-coding RNA, 535 nt
Organism: Corylus avellana
Lineage: Eukaryota; Viridiplantae; Streptophyta; Magnoliopsida; Fagales; Betulaceae
Source: RefSeq, a predicted model, not a curated record